UGGCUCUGAUGCUAUUGCACCACAUGUGUUUUUUAUUGAACAAAUUUCUUUGGUGGCGGGAGCAAUCCUACCGCCAGAGGUUAUAACUAAACCAAACUUUUUAUUUACAGUCAAACUUGAUUUAUUAUUACAAUAGUCAAAACUUUCAACAACGGAUCUCUUGGUUCUCGCAUCGAUGAAGAACGCAGCGAAAUGCGAUACGUAAUAUGAAUUGCAGAUAUUCGUGAAUCAUCGAAUCUUUGAACGCACAUUGCGCCCUUUGGUAUUCCAAAGGGCAUGCCUGUUUGAGCGUCAUUUCUCCCUCAAACCCCCGGGUUUGGUGUUGAGCAAUACGCUAGGUUUGUUUGAAAGAAUUUAACGUGGAAACUUAUUUUAAGCGACUUAGGUUUAUCCAAAAACCCUUAUUUUGCUAGGGGCCACCACAAUUUAUUUCAUAACUUUGACCUCAAAUCAGGUAGAACUACCCGCUAAACUUAACCAUAUCAUAAGGGGGGGAGGAA
RNAcentral lists this ribosomal RNA (500 nucleotides) under Candida tropicalis. RNAcentral's name for it is "eukaryotic LSU rRNA". The stretch from base 141 to 294 matches the Rfam family "5.8S ribosomal RNA". Lineage: Eukaryota; Fungi; Ascomycota; Pichiomycetes; Serinales; Debaryomycetaceae. The record is from RNAcentral.